UAUUGUUGGCUGGGUUUAUUUAGUUUGCAGCAUGUUAUGGUUUAAGAAAAAGAUAUAUGAAAACUUUACUGUAUAUCAGUGUUUCCCAACCGGUGUUCCGCGGCACACUAGUGUGCCGCGAGAUGUUUCCUGGUGUGCCGCUCCGGCGGCUCCUCUGCGGCGGCGGCUACAGCGGCAAUCUCGGGCGGCUCCUGAGGCGGCGAAGGCGGCCCAGCGGCCGGAGGCGAAGACGGUUGCGGCUGCUCCCGACGCUCACCAGCGGCCUCCUCUUCCUCGCCGCUGCUGCUUCGCGGCUUCUCCUCCUCCGCCUCCUCCUUCUCCUCGCCGCCGCCUUUUUCGGGCUCCGGCUCCUUCUUCCCCUCAGGCUCCUCCGCGGAAGGCCCGUCCGGCAGCUCGGCCUCCGAGUCGCCGCUGCUGCUGCCGCCGCCGCCUCUUUCUCCUCCGCUACCGCCGCCGGGCUCUCCUCCUCCUCCUCCGGGCCCCUCGUCCUGGGCGGGCAGAGCGGCGGGGGUCUCGGCGGCCGCCGGGCUCUCCUGGGUCUCCUGCAUGGGGGGCUACGCGGCCUUCCCGCUCGCCUCACACGCGCGGCGCACGAACAGGCAAAGCGGCGCGCUGGGCCGAAAAGGGGGAGGGAGGGGGCACAGAGCGCGCAGGCGCAUGCGCAGGGGAGGCGCCCUCUCGCCGGGCCAUGUGCGCGAGAGCGGACCCGGCGGCGAGUCUCGCGAGAGGGGCAGGGACCAACUCGGCAGACGAGAGGGGGAAGGAACGGAUUCCAAAACCGGUGUCUUGCCGCGUUGUAUAUGUUUAUUUCCUAUGUUAAUGGGCUAGGACAGGGUUUGCGAUCGGUUAACGCCCAGUUAUGCUUUCCCCUUAGGAAUUAGGCGUUUCGGUCUUGAGGUACGCUCGCUUCACACCCCACACCCCUCGAGGCCCCGCAUUAAGCCCGCCCUUAGGUGGGGUAGGAUGGACCGUCCCAGAGGGAGGGCGGAGGUGAAAGUAGUGUCGUGAAUAGCGGUAUCGUCAUCGCGUCCUUUUACUUACGUUAUUAUUGUCGAAAUAUAUAUGUACCGCCCCCUAUUUUAAAUUCUAGCCUAUAUUAAUCGUAAGCUGUCACUGUGGAGGAGAUAGUAGCAAAGGGGAAUCAAGCACCCCUUCAAAAAUGACCGAAAUGGGUCGAACUGGCGAGUCGUCAUCCUGCC
Molecule: long non-coding RNA, 1199 nt
Filed under: Podarcis muralis (Common wall lizard)
Lineage: Eukaryota; Metazoa; Chordata; Lepidosauria; Squamata; Lacertidae
Description: lncRNA (ENSPMRG00000011059.1)
Source: RNAcentral